GACGAACGCUGGCGGCGUGCUUAACACAUGCAAGUCGAACGGAAAGGCCCUGCUUUUGUGUGGUGCUCGAGUGGCGAACGUGUGAGUAACACGUGAGUAUCCUGCCUUUUACUUUGGGAUAACUUCAGGAAACUGGUGCUAAUACCGGAUAGGUGCUCCUGCUGCAUGGUGGGGGUUGGAAAGUUUCGGCGGUUGUGGAUGGACUCGCGGCUUAUCAGCUUGUUGGUGGGGUAGUGGCUUACCAAGGCUUUGACGGGUAGCCGGCCUGAGAGGGUGACCGGCCACAUUGGGACUGAGAUACGGCCCAGACUCCUACGGGAGGCAGCAGUGGGGAAUAUUGCACAAUGGGCGGAAGCCUGAUGCAGAAACGCCGCGUGCGGGAUGACGGCCUUCGGGUUGUAAACCGCUUUAGCCUGUGACGAAGCGUGAGUGACGGUAAUGGGUAAAGAAGCACCGGCUAACUACGUG
This 468-nucleotide ribosomal RNA is filed under the name uncultured bacterium. RNAcentral describes it as "partial 16S ribosomal RNA". It matches the Rfam family "Bacterial small subunit ribosomal RNA", at positions 28 to 507 of the family's 1533-position model. The record is from RNAcentral.